RNAcentral lists this long non-coding RNA (1701 nucleotides) under Bemisia tabaci. RNAcentral describes it as "lncRNA ENSSSA2NGG000423". The record is from RNAcentral. Lineage: Eukaryota; Metazoa; Arthropoda; Insecta; Hemiptera; Aleyrodidae.
AUGGAUGUCUCAGUUUUUCACAGUCUAAAAGAUGCGUGGAAGGAGACUGUGACUCAAUGGAGAAUCACAAAUAGUGGUGAGCAGCUGAAAAAAGAAAAUUUCUGUCCAUUACUAGAGCAAGUCCUAGAUGGAGUUAUAUAUCCCGAAAUACUGAAAAAUGGCUUUGAAAAGUGUGGGCUUGUACCGUGGAACAUUAAAGCUGAUGACUUCACCAAAAUAGUUGGAAGCGCUGAACCAGAAAUCAAGACAGACCCUUUCGCCAUGCGGAAUCUAAAAAUUGCAAUCGGGCUAAUUGAAUCUGAAAUUGGUGAGACUACAGUAAAAAAAUUCCAAGAAAAUCAGGAACAAGCAACUGAAAAUUUAUCUUUACCACCAGAAGAUACACGUUUAUUUCAGGUAAUGGCUAAGUUUCACAAAAAAGUGAAGGAACUGAUCACAGCUGAGAAAAAUUCGAAAGACAAGCUGGUAGAAGAUAGGUUGGAAAAAAAGAAGAGAUCAAAAUUAAAAGCAGAGGCGAAGGCAAUGUCAAAAGCUAACAAAACAGCCAGUUCAAUCAAUACAUCAAAUAUUUCCGCCUUUUACAUUGAAUCAUUGCCAGUGGAAAUGGAUUUAAAUGAUUUCCCUACUGAAAUAAACCCUUUCAUCUCGCCUACUAUAACUCCAACACUUUCUACUUCUGUGAACAUUGAAUCUGAGGAUUUGUCACUUCUGGACAAUUUAGUCAAUGGAAACUUAGCAGAAGAUUUAUUGAAUAUUCUCACCGUACCACAGAGCGUCCGUGAUGUUGAAGUGGUAAUUAAUGAGCCACACAAUGAUUUGUCAAGACCUAGCACAAGUGAUGGUGCUGGAGAAUCGUCAAAGAAGAAUACUAAUGCUGGAGAAUUGUCAGAGAAGAAUACUGGUGCUGGAGAAUCGUCAGAGAAAAAUACUGGUGCUGGAGAAUCAUCAGAGAAAAAUACAACAGCAGAUGCCAGGGAAAUUAAUGCUCCGAAAGAAAUUGACAACUCCAAUAAUUUAGAAAAAAAUUCAAUUGUCGAUAAGUCAAACAACUUUAAUGAUAAAAACAUUCCGACUCCAUUUAAAAAAGCAUUCAUUUGGCCUGAGCCAUCGACAAAGAAAAAUGGAAAGCAAAAAAGGAGUCAUGAAGUGAUGCCGUCUGGAAUCACCUCAUCACCAUGGAAAAAAUACUGGGAGAAUAAGAGGCAGAAGAAAGAAACUGAAGAAAAAGCGAAAGAAGAAAGAAAGGCAGCAAGAGAACAGAAAAAGAAGGAAAAAGAAACAAUGCAAAGAGAGAAAGCCGAGAAAUCUAAAAAGCAACCAAAGAAAAACCAAAAUUCUCGUAGACGACUUUUCAUCGAAUCUAGUUCUAGUGCUGAGGAAUCUGAUCCUGAUUGUCCUCCCACGCCAGAGCCUCCUCCAUCACCAGAAGUUUUACAGCUGAAUAGUUUAAAGAAAGACGACUUUGUGAUAUUCACUUACGAGGAGGAAUACUGGCCUGGCAUCAUAUUAGAGGUGACAGAAACUGGGGCCAAAAUAAGUUCAAUGGCACCAGCAGGACCGGGUGGUUGGCGGUGGCCGGAUAAGAAAGAUAUUGAUGAGUAUAAUCUGGAGGAAAUCAAAGAAGUCAUAAAUCCGCCAACCAUCCGGAACAGCAGAGGAGUUUGGUGCGUGUCCGAGUUAGCCAAGUAUCGUAAGUGGUAG